This 490-nucleotide ribosomal RNA is filed under the name uncultured bacterium. RNAcentral's name for it is "partial 16S ribosomal RNA". It matches the Rfam family "Bacterial small subunit ribosomal RNA", at positions 30 to 507 of the family's 1533-position model. The record is from RNAcentral.
AUUGAACGCUGGCGGCAGGCCUAACACAUGCAAGUCGAACGGUAACAGGAAGAAGCUUGCUUCUUUGCUGACGAGUGGCGGACGGGUGAGUAAUGUCUGGGAAACUGCCUGAUGGAGGGGGAUAACUACUGGAAACGGUAGCUAAUACCGCAUAAUGUCGCAAGACCAAAGAGGGGGACCUUCGGGCCUCUUGCCAUCGGAUGUGCCCAGAUGGGAUUAGCUAGUAGGUGGGGUAACGGCUCACCUAGGCGACGAUCCCUAGCUGGUCUGAGAGGAUGACCAGCCACACUGGAACUGAGACACGGUCCAGACUCCUACGGGAGGCAGCAGUGGGGAAUAUUGCACAAUGGGCGCAAGCCUGAUGCAGCUAUACCGCGUGUAUGAAGAAGGCCUUCGGGUUGUAAAGUACUUUCAGCGGGGAGGAAGGGAGUAAAGUUAAUACCUUUGCUCAUUGACGUUACCCGCAGAAGAAGCACCGGCUAACUCCGUG